UCAUGUUUCUGUAUCAUUUUGAUCUCUGUUGUUCACAUGAAGACACUUGAUCUAAUGGAUAUCUUUGUAUUUCUCUGAUCUAGAUGCUGCUGUCACAAAUGAAGCAAGGACAGAAUCAUUGAUGAAGGAAAAGACUGAUUCCAGAAGAAACCGAGUGAAUGAAUCAGUGACUGUAGAGAUGGAGAAGAAACCGCUGUUGAAUAGAGAUGAUCUGAAUGUUGUGAAUGAGGAGGAGAGGACGAGUUCACUUUAAGAACAUAAGACCCGCCCACAAGUGUCAAUCACUCUGACAUCAUCAACAUUCAGCUCCAGCUUCAACACAAACAUGUUUCUGUUUUUAUGAUCCUCUAGAAUCCGUCCAGUGAAAGUCAGAUAUAAAACUGUGUUGAGCUGGUAAACUUGCAUGUGAAGAGCUUCUUUAGUUUUAGAUGAACCAAGAAACAUGUUUGUCAUUUUAAUAUUACACUUCAUUCUUUUACUCUAUUUAGCCUGAUACUAGUUUGACUCACAGCUUUGAUUUUGUGUGAUUGUAGACAGUGAGUUUAUUCUGUUUUAAAUAAUAAACACAGUGAGUGUCAGAAAGUGUCAUUUGUUUUUUUAUAAGAUAUUUUUACCACAGCAGUAUCUCUUAUCAUUUUAUUUUCUGUUUUUAUAUGAUAAACACCAGUUCCAGAUUAAUGUUCAUGUUCAGCGUUGAUUACAGUCUGUUUCCAAAGCUGAGAUCACAAAAUCUUCUUGUUCUUCAUGU
Molecule: long non-coding RNA, 748 nt
Organism: Carassius auratus (goldfish)
Lineage: Eukaryota; Metazoa; Chordata; Actinopteri; Cypriniformes; Cyprinidae
Exons: 2
Source: RefSeq, a predicted model, not a curated record